This 219-nucleotide ribosomal RNA is filed under the name Triticum aestivum (bread wheat). RNAcentral's name for it is "partial small subunit ribosomal RNA". Lineage: Eukaryota; Viridiplantae; Streptophyta; Magnoliopsida; Poales; Poaceae. The record is from RNAcentral.
AUGUGUGUGCCCAAGAAAAAAGGUGGGAUGGCUUUAGGGACAUGUAUACACUGUUUUAGUCUAGCUUUAUUGUCUAAACAAGCUUGAUGCUUGAUAGAUAACUCGGAGUCCCUAUAUGUUACAAUUCUCAUAGCUAAGUACUACGCUGAUAGUGAUUUGCUAAUUGUCCCAUUAAAGAAGAAGGCAUCUUACACUUGGCAAAGCAUCAUGGAGGGGGUG